Molecule: long non-coding RNA, 1855 nt
Organism: Cyanistes caeruleus (blue tit)
Lineage: Eukaryota; Metazoa; Chordata; Aves; Passeriformes; Paridae
Source: Ensembl
GGAAAAAUGGGGAAAAAAUGGGGGAAAAUGUGGAGAAAAUGGGGGGAAAUGGGGAAAAAGUGGGGGGAAAUGGGGAAAAAUGGGGAGAAAAUGGGGAAAAAUGGGGGUUUUGGGGGGAAAAUGGGAUUUUUAGAGGGAAAAAUAGGGUUUCUAGGGGGAAAUGGGAAUUUUAUGGGGAAAAUGGGAAUUUUAGGGGAAAAUGGGGAUAAAAUGGGAAUUUUGGGGGGGAAAAUGGGGAUUUUGGGGGGAAAUUGGGAAAAAAUGGGGAUUUUUGGGGAAAAAUGGGAAUUUUAGGAGGAAAAAUGGGAUUUUGGGGGGAAAAUGGGGAAAAAAUAGGAUUUUUUUGGAGAAAAUGGGAUUUUUAGGGGAAAAAAUGGGGAAAAGUGGAUUUUUAGAGAGAAUAAUGGAGUUUUUAGGAGGAAAAAUGGGAAUUUUGGGGGAGAAACGAAGAAAAAACGGGAUUUUGUGGGGGGGAAAAGAAUUAUUUUGGGACCAAGGAUGAGGAUUUGGGGUUUCUGGGAUAGAAAAAGGAAAUUCCACGAUUUUUUGGGAUUCCAGAGAAUUUUAUUGGCAUCCAGAGCAGCUUUAGGAACAUUUUUUAGGAUUUUUGAUCAUUUUUGGGGGGAGGGAUUUUGGAGCUUGGGAAUAAAAUUUAGGAACUUUUUUUUUUUGGAGGAUCCACCAUAAUUUUUUUUUUGGAAUUUUGGAGCUCGGGAAUAAAAUUUUUAGGAUCCAGGAGAAGAAUUUUGGGAUAAAAGAAGAGAAUUCCAAGAUUUUUUUGGCAUUCAGGAGCAUUUUUUUGGGGGGAUCCGCUGCAGUUUUAGCGCCGUUUUUUCACCUUUUAUCCCCGAAUUUUCACCCAUUCCCACUGGAAUUUCUCUGCAAUUCCAAGAAUUUCUUGGGAAUUCUGGGAAUUCCAUCCCAUUUUCCCUGUUUUCCAGAACCCCCUGCAGGUCCUGGUCAACGCCAUCAUCAACUCCGGCCCCCGCGAGGACUCGACUCGGAUCGGCCGCGCCGGCACCGUCCGCAGACAAGCCGUCGACGUCUCCCCUCUCCGCAGGGUCAACCAGGUCCUUCCCCACCCCAAAUCCCCAAAAUUCCCACAUUCCCAAGGAUUUUUCCAUGGUUCUGGUUUGUCCUGAUUUUUUGGGAAUUUUUCCCAUUUUUUUGCAAUUUUUUUUGCUUUUUUUCCCAUUUUUUUUGGUUUUUUUUCUUCUCUGCUGGGUCAACCAGGUCCUUCCCCACCCCAAAUCCCAAAAAUUCCCACAUUCCCAAGGAUUUUUCCAUACUUUUGGUUUGUCCUGAUUUUUUGGGAAUUUUUCCCUUUUUUUUUCCUUUUUUUUUCCCAUUUUUCUUGGUUUUUUUCUCUUUUUUUUUGUUUGUUCUCCCAGUUUUUUUCCUCUUUGCAGGGUCAACCAGGUCCUUCCCCACCCCAAAUCCCCAAAAUUCCCACAUUCCCAAGGAUUUUUCCAUAGUUCUGGUUUAUCCUGAUUUUUUGGGAAUUUUUCCCAUUUUUUUUGGCCUUUUUUUUCCCAUUUUUUUCUCGUUUUAUUCCAUUUUUCUUUCUCUCCGCAGGGUCAACCAGGUCCUUCCCCAUCCCCAAAUCCCAAAAAUUCCCACAUUCCCAAAGAUUUUUCAAUGGUUCUGGUUUAUCCUGAUUUUUUGGGAAUUUUUCCCAUUUUUUUCCCCAUUUUUUCCUCAUUUUUUUGCUUUUUUUUCCCUUUUUUUUUUGGGUUUUUUUCCUUUUCUUCCUAAUUUUUUUGCUCUCUGCUGGGUCAACCAGGUCCUUCCCCACCCCAAAUCCCCAAAAUUCCCACAUUCCCAAGGAUUUUUCCAUAGUUUUGGUUUAUCCUGA